RNAcentral lists this long non-coding RNA (4742 nucleotides) under Homo sapiens (human). Its description in RNAcentral is "HSALNT0216363". The record is from RNAcentral. Lineage: Eukaryota; Metazoa; Chordata; Mammalia; Primates; Hominidae.
CCUCCCUCCACUCUUGCUUCGCCCUGACCAGAGAUGGAGGGUGGUGCUGGGAAUAGGAGGUAGGUGAGUGCCUGUCCUGGCCAACAGCAGAGGCCCUCGAGGGAAACUGCACCGCAGGUGUCACUCUAGAGCCCACAGCGGGGGCUGUCAACCUGGAGUGUGCAGCAGAAUCGCCUACAGCCCUCUGGCCCAGCCCCAGUGACUCUGGGUGAGUGGGUCUGGGGUGCAUUUCAAACAAGUUUCCAGGCGCUGCUGCCGCCAGUCCUAUCUGGAGACGACUCUCUGAGAAGCACAAGGUGGCCAGAGGGACAGGAGUGUCCUCAGACCGCCUCUCCCAGAGAGUGGGCCUCCUCAGUCCGCACCCCAGACAGGAUAUGCCAGCCUUGAAGCCUCUGUGGACAUCUCCAUGCUCAGGGGCGAUGCCCGGCCUCUGCCAACCACGCCAGCUUAGAUGAAGUCCAGGCACCUCCCUCAGUUCACCGUGUGCCCCUGAGCGAGUCUCUCGCCCACUCUGAGCCUCAGUUUCCUUAUCUGCACAGUGAGGAGGGGAGCAAGGCCACGUGCAGCUAUUUGAGCAGGCUGGAGUGCAAAGGUGUGACCUCGGCUCACUGCAACCUCCGCCUCUCAAGUUCCAGCAAUUCUCCUGCCUCAGCCUCCCGAGUAGCUGGGAACUACAGGGAACAUUCCUGGCUGCAGUGGGGCGUUGCCCUGAAGGACAUUUGCGAGGGGAUCAUGAGGGCAGGGCUUGUGGCCAGGGCUAGACCAGGGUGCCUAGAAGCAACAGGCAGCAGGCUCAGAAAGGACAGCGUAGGCCGGGCAGCGCCGCCAGCCCUGGGGCUGGGAGAGAACAGGCUGGCCCCACCCUCGGCUGGAAGGAAGAAGUGAAGGCCGCAGAGACUGGAACACAGAGCAGACAGCGUCGCUGACUCUUGGCUGUCUGGACAGGACAGUGACUUCUGGCCGGGGUCACUGCCCGGCGCCAUGCAGCAGGGAAGGAGCCAGGAGACCGACACCCUCUACUGUCUCCUCCCUCCCUCCCGGCCUCCAUCAGGACUUGCAGGAGCUGACACCAAGUGCAAACCAGACGACCCAGGCCGAUGGCGCCCACACAGGUGGCCUCCCAGACACACAGCCAGGAGAGAGGUGGCAGUGGCCCUGGGGACAUUGGAAGACGUGGUGUUGUGGCUGUUGAGCUGAAGUCUCACCAUCAUAGCUUGUGUUGUAAAGCAAGGAGCAGCAAGCUACGGGUCUGCAGGCCAAAUUUAGCCUGCUGCUUGUUUUGUAAAUAAAGUUUUACCGGCACACAGUCAUGCUCAUUUGUUUCUACAUUGUCUAUGGCUGCUUUCUUGCUAUAAUGGUAGAUGCAGAGACUGUAGGGUUCAUAAAACCUGAAACAUUUACUCUCUGGCCUUUUACAGAAAAAGUUUACCCGCCCCUGGUCUAAAGGAAAGGACAAGAAAUUCUCUCUCCCAGUUUUAGUAUGAAACAUUCUUUUUAUUUUUUAUUUUAUUUAUCAUUAUUACUAUCUUUGAGAUGGAGUCUUGUUCUGUUGUCCAGGCUGGAGUGCACUGGUGCAAUCUCUGCUCACUGCACCCUCCGCUUUCCGGGUUCAAGUGAUUAUCCUGCCUCAGCCUCCCAAGUAGCUGGGAUUACAGGCAUGCGCCACCAUGCCCCGCUAAUUUUUAUAUUUUUAGUAGAGACGGGGUUUCACCAUGUUGGCCAGGCUGGUCUUAAACUCCUGACCUCAAGUGAUCCACCCAGCUCGGUCUCCCAAAAUGCUGGGAUUACAGGCGUGAGCCACUGCGCCCGGCCUUCUUUUUCUUUUUCUUUUUCUUUUUGAGAUGGAGUCUCGCUCUGUCACCCAGGCUGGAGUGCAGUGGCGCCAUCUUGACUCACUGCAACCUCUGCCUCCUGGGUUCAAGUAGUUUUCCUGCCUCAUUCUCUAAAGUAGCUGAGAUUACAGGUGUGCACAACCACACCCAGCUAAUUUUUUAUUUUUAUUUUUGGUAUUUUUAGUAGAGACAAGGUUUCACCAUUUUGGUCAGGCUGGUCUCGAACUCCUGACCUCAAAUGAUCUGCCCGCCUUGGCCUCCCAAAAUGCUGGGAUUACAUGUGUGAGCCACCACACCCAGCCAGUAUAAAACAUUCUAAAUAAGUUAUCUGCUGAGGGAGCAAGAUUGUUUGAGACCAGGAGUUCAAGACCAACCGGGGCGACAUAGCAAGACUCCUUCUCUAAAAAAAUUUUUUUAAAUUAGCCAGAUGUGGUGGCAUACACCUGUAGUCCCCACUACUGUGGAGGCUGAGAUGGGAGGAUUACUUGAGCCUGGCAGUUCAAGGCUGCAGUGAGCUAUGAUUGUGCCAAGUCACUUCAGCCUGUAUGACGGAGCAAGACCAUGUCUCUAAAAAAUAAAUAGAUAAAUGAAUACAUAAACAAAUAAGUUCUCUGAUUGGCCUGGCUUCAGUCACAUGACUGAAGGGGGAUGAAGUGCUGCUAGGGUCUUGGGUCACAUGUCCACCCUGGUGCCAGCCCCUCUAGAAUCCUAUGAUCAGAGUGGAGCUGGAGCACAGACUCACAGGGCAUGGGGCUCAGGAGAGAGAGAAAGCGAGGGCAGACGAAUACAAGGACUGUCCACCAAAGGCACGAUGACCUUUGUUGUACAUUUGUAAAUGUAUAAGAACAGUAAAUGGAAAUUUCCAGGAGGCAAGAAGAGAGAGCAGAUGUGGAAUUCUCAAAUGCUAUGUCAGAUCGCCAUGGGCAGAUUGUCAAGAGAAAUGUUUGGGAAUCUGUCCCACACUCAGGAAUAAAAGAUGAGAGUGGAAGAGAAAGUUUGGUCAGGUGAUCCUGCCAGGGGACACAGAGGACAGGCACUCCUUCCUUCACUUUAAGCCUGUGAGGGUGGCUUCCAAGGGAUUUCUCAGAGAGCUCAAUAUUUGGCACUCAAUUUGGAGGGCACAGUGGCAGGAAGGGCUCAUGUGCUGUUUCAGAGGCAGAGCUAUGCUGCUGUGCUGGGACCCACCUGUUCACUAAUGUUGGGGCGAGGAGUGUGCCAGUGUUUCCUGAGGACAGAUGUGAGCUGGGUGGAUGAGCAAGCACAAGACCCAUGGAUCCAUUUAGGUCCUGUCCAAAAGUCCCUCAGGAAGGGCAGAGGGCCCCUCCCCUCCACAGCCACCAGACCCAACGUUACAAAACGGCUGUGCUGAAGAUACAGAAUGUUCCCAGCCCCCUAGAGGCCUCUCCUUGUGCCUCCUUCCAGUUGAUACCCCAAAGGCAACCAGUACUCUCACCUCUAACGCCAGAUUGUUCUCACCUGCCUUUAAGAAAUGAAGGUAUUAUAUAUACAUACACACAGUGACAUGCACUCAUCUUAAGAAGACAGUUUGAAGAAUGUUUACUUAUGCGUGCUCCCAUGUAACUACUACCCAAAUCCAGGCAUAGAACAUUACCAGCAGCCCAGAAGGUUCCUCCUCUUGUUCCAGUCAACAACUCCGGCAUAGGCAGCCACUCCUCUUCUUCUUCUUCUUCUUCUUAUUAUUAUUACUAUUAUUAAGACGGAGUCGUGCUCUGUUGCCCAUGCUGGAGUGCAGUGGAGCGAUCUUGGCUCACUGCACUUUCGCCUCCCGGGUUCAAGUAAUUCUCCUGCCUUAGCCUCUCGAGUAGCUGGGACUACAGGCGCGCGCCACCACGCCCGGCUAGUUUUUUGUAUUUUAGUAGAGACGGGGUUUCACCGUGUUGCCCAGGCUGGUCUCGAAGUCCUGAGCUCAGGCAAUCCGCCCACCUCGGCCUCCUAAAGUGCUGGGAUUACAGGUGUGAGCCACCGCGCCAGGCCCACUCCUAUUUUUAGCUCCAGAGAUUAGUUUUGCUUCAGGCUCCCUUAACGUCCUGCUUCAAACCCCUAUCUGCCCCUUCAUCGGCUCCACCUGGAGGCCACCGCUUCCACGGAAGCAUGACCCCUUCCCCUGCACCCGCGCGCCCCAGAAGCUCUCAGAUACCCCCACGAUUUCGGUGACCUUCCGCAAGCUCCAGGAAAAGCCCCUCCUCUCCUGACGCCAAGGGUUUGUUGGGGUUGGGGGGUAUCUCCAUCAGCCUCCCUCCCCCAGCCACCCAAAUUAACCAACAAUCUUAGUAAAUGCAGCGACUCGCUAGGCAAACCCAGCCUGGAGACAAAUAUCCGGCCCCUUUCCUACCAAACUGUCACACCUAGGCAUUGGUCUGCAGGGAGGGCUGGACAGUGGAAACUGAAACCCUCUGCAAGCCAUCACGAAUCCACCGGGCACUGGGGACGCUGGCUCCCGCCUUGGCAGCAUCCCCCAGAAGCCUGGGCCCUGACCCCACACCGUCUGGGCCUCAGUCUCUCAUCGGUAAAGUCAGGGGUAGGGCCCGAGUCUUCCAGGACCGCUUCGAGCUGGGACAAGCCGUUUUAAAUAGCCCACAACCCGCCGAGGCCAUCAGAGCUGCGCCUGCCGGGCCGCCCUCGACCCCCACCUCGGCCGGGCAGGUCCGAGGCCCCGCAGGCAACAUGGGCCCGCGGACUGCGGGACGGGGCUCGACGGCCUGAGAUCGCGACUCUGCCUCUCCGAUACUUGGGGUCGUCUUCGGCCCCGGGAUCCGCGACGCGCGCGGUCGGACCCCGAAUACUGAAGGCACCGGGUCCGCAGGGCGAAGGCGCACACGCCCACCAGGCGCGCUCUGCGCAUGCGCGGGCUCCGCAAUCUCAGCGGCCCACUCGCCCCGCCCCGCCCCC